UGCAACGCAGUUUCGACCCGCAAAUAGAUUUCGCAGACGCCCAGCUGGGGUUUGUUGGAAAUUCCAGGACAAGCAAUGCACGUUGGGAACCGCGUGUUCCUUUCGGCACGCUUGUCGCAUCUGCGGGGGAUUUCACCCUGCCGCAGACUGCGUUAAAAAAGGGGAGAGACAGGACAGGACUGGGCCAAGAGGCCCUGCUGUCGCUAAGAGCGGACACCCCGCUGAAGGUGGCCGCAAUUAGUAAGUGGCUCACGCUAUACCCCGAUAGGGUAACGGCGGCCUUGUUGGAGUCAGGGCUCCGGGAAGGUUUUGUUAUCCCCGUACAAGGUCCGGUUUCGGGUGCGGCUUCUCGCAGGAACCUGAAAUCUGCCUCCCUUUUCCCGGAGGUAUUAAAGGAGAAAUUGGGUAAGGAAGUUUCACUGGGUAGAAUGGCUGGCCCGUUUAGGGAAAGACCUAUGCCGGGAUUGGUUAUCUCGCCUCUAGGGGUCGUGCCCAAGAAAGACCCAGGAAAGUUUAGGAUGAUACAACAUCUCUCAUACCCAAAGGGAAAGUCAGUCAAUGACGCCAUUCCUCAGGACUUAAGUACCGUAUAUUACCAGUCAUUUGAUGAUGCCUUGCAAGUAGUACGCAGAUCGGGUCAUGGGGCUUUACUGGCCAAGCUUGACAUCGAGUCUGCUUUCAGACUCUUGCCGAUUCACCCCGCAUCAUUUUACUUAAUGGGUUGUUUCUUCAACGGACACUAUUAUGUUGACCGUUGUUUGCCCAUGGGGUGUUCCAUUUCCUGCGCCUAUUUUGAGGCGUUUAGUUCCUUCUUGCAUUGGGCCGUGGCGGAAGUGACAGGAGAGGAUAGGAUUGCUCACUACUUGGACGACUUUCUCCUGGUCGGCAGACAGGGGUCUAGGGAAUGUGAGCUGCUCCUUUACGCCAUGCGGCUGUUGAUGGAGAAAUUUGGAGUCCCCUUAGCAGAAGACAAAUCGGAGGGCCCUUGCACUUGUCUAACUUUCCUGGGUAUCGAAAUUGAUUCGGUAGCCCAGGAAUGUAGGCUUCCGGUUGAUAAGGUACAGAAGAUGUUGGCAGCAGUCAGGAGCCUCGCAGCGGCGCAGUUUUGCACGCUGAAAGAGCUCCAAUCGGUUUUGGGUCUGCUCAACUUUGCAGGGAGGGUCAUCCCGAUGGGGAGGAUUUUCCUGAAAAGAAUGGAGCGCUUGUUGCCGGGAGUUACUUCCCCUAAGGCCAAACUAAUGGUUAAUAGUGACAUGAGGGAAGACCUCCGUGUCUGGGAUCUGUUCCUCAGGGAUUUCAAUGGGAUCUGUAUUUGGAGAACCCCCCAGACUCCGGCGCGAGAACUGCACCUCUUUACUGAUGCUGCUGGGGGUUUUGGAUACGGCGCCUAUCUCAAUGGCGAGUGGAGCGCCGAACCUUGGCCGGCAGAGUGGGCGGCCAGGGGCCUGACCAGGAACCUGUGCCUUCUAGAGCUUUUCCCCAUUCUGGUGGCGUUGGAGAUCUGGGGGGACAAGCUCGAGAACCGCUCCGUCAUUUUUUGGACGGACAAUUUGAGCGUGGUUUACGCCAUUAACGGUCUCUCUUCGUCCUCACCACCAGUAAUUCGAUAUCUGAGAAUUCUGGUUUUGAGAUGCCUCAAGCGGAACAUUGAGUUUCGGGCUAGGCAUGUCCCAGGAGUUAAAAACGUUAUUGCUGAUGCACUAUCUCGCUUUCAAUGGGAAAAUUUUAGGAAAUGUGCUCCUGAGGCUGCCACUCAUGGCUUUCCCUGUCCCCCUUUUCUUUGGCAGGUGGCUUUGGAUGGCAGUCCCUGAUUCCGGUGCUUAAGGCGUCCCUGGCACCUUCCACUUGGAAGUCCUAUAUAAGGUACUGGGAAGAAUGGGUAUUCUUCUGCGAUGUCCAAGGAUUUCCUUCUUGUGCUGGGCCUAGAAGUGGGCCACUUCGUGCCUGGAUCGUUGGGCACUCGUUCGUACACUGGGCGGCUAUCCGAGCGGCAUCGCAACCUGGAGGGCAGCAGCUUGGGUUCUCAUUCUCCAGGGUGGUAGUUAGGUGGUUAGGGAGGAGAGGCCUUUGCUGGGCAGAUCUGCCUGGGUUACUGCAAUCCGCCAUGAGGCGGUGGGAGAAACCCCAUGUGCUGAUCAUCCACUUAGGUGGGAAUGAUCUCGGCUCAAUUCCCGGCCGGGACUUGAGCGCAGUGAUCCAAUCAGAUCUGCGCACCUUUAAAGCUUGGUUGCCUGGUGUGAGAAUGGGCUGGUCAAACAUUAUACCGAGGUUGACGUGGAGACACAUGGCCAAUCAUAGGGCAGCGUUCCAAGUUCGCAAGAAGCUCAAUAGAGAUGUUAGGAAGCUUAUGUGCGAGCUAGGUGGUUUUGUUGUGGAACACAAGUUCAUUACGGCCGCUGACCGUAGCCUGUACCGAGGCGACGGGGUCCAUCUUACGGACCAUGGCAUGGACCUGUUUAUUGAAGAUAUACGUCAGUCCCUACUCCUAUUUGUGUGAGUUGGGUGGCGGCGAGAGUGGCCCUUGAUAUUCGGGCGAUCUCGUGGCGGGUGGACAGUGUCCGGGGGCAGGAUGUGAUCGAGGUAGAGUGACGGCACUUCCGGCCAGGGAUGAAGUCCCCAGACGCGCGUCUGGGGUGUUCCCUGCCCGUGUGAUUACGAUGCCGAGAAUUCCCUGUUUUAUAGUAUUGAGCUACGCUCUGCUUCUUCUCCUGCGCCCUGGUACUGCCCAUCUUGUUAGCAUGGGUUACUACGUUUUAGCUAGUACCUGAUUGCCGCCCCCCUGGUCCAUGUUUAUUCAGACGGUCGUUAGUUCUUGUGUUGCCACAAUAAACGUGACCUGCGGGUUUUCUCUAACCAUAAAAAGUUGUUGUGUCGUUAUUUUGUGUGUUAUUUAUUUCUACGUUUAGAAACUAAGUUGAGUUUAUGUUAAACCAAGAAUGUAUAUAGUUAUAAGUUAUUCUUUCCACAGAGGAGGAUAUGGCAUUUAAUCCCUUAAGGAAAUGUAAGGCAAAUUGCCUGGAAUGCACAUAAGGGUUAAGGCCAAGACGGAGGAGGGGAGUGUUGUGUUGUGUGUGUGAAACAAUGUUGCAGAAAGAGAGGAGGGGUUCCAGCUUACCUUUUUAAGCCCAGUACAGGAAGCACAUGUCCUCUUUCUGCUGUUUUUCUCAAAGUUUUCCCCACCCUUCCCUCCCUUUGUUUAUUAUUUUGCAAUCAGUAGGGGGAUCCGUCCUUAUGGUGGUCCCCAGGGACUAGGGCUAUCCGAAGGCUUGAUGAGGGCUAGCCAGCCUAUUUCUGUAAGUCCAAGGACGUUAAGUUUCAGCUCCCCAGGUAUUUCAAUCUGGUUUACGCACCUUUUUUAAUCCUGGCCCUUACUGGUACGGAGUGGUGGUUUGCACCCUGGGCUGGCGGGUGGACAGUGUCCGGGGGCAGGAUGUGAUCGAGGUAGAGUGACGGCACUUCCGGCCAGGGAUGAAGUCCCCAGACGCGCGUCU
RNA transcript from Bombina bombina (fire-bellied toad), 3491 nucleotides. RefSeq lists it as uncharacterized. The record is from RefSeq and is a predicted model, not a curated record. The transcript has 2 exons. NCBI's taxonomy places the organism in Eukaryota, Metazoa, Chordata, Amphibia, Anura, Bombinatoridae.